Long non-coding RNA from Mirounga angustirostris (Northern elephant seal), 798 nucleotides. RefSeq lists it as uncharacterized. NCBI's taxonomy places the organism in Eukaryota, Metazoa, Chordata, Mammalia, Carnivora, Phocidae. The transcript is spliced from 3 exons. The record is from RefSeq and is a predicted model, not a curated record.
CAGUACUUUCAGUGCAGUAGAUGCUCUGCCGAGUCAUUGUAUGGACAAUCACAUUAUGUUUGCAAGAGAAUCGCUGGCUUGGUUUCGUGUGUGGGGCACAGGACUUAACAUCUCCUCUAUCUCGUCUUCAGGAGAGACCGUCGGGGAAGAGAUGAUGAGGUCCUUGUCCAGCCUUUCACAAAGCCAGUGCCAGCUUCUGAAGCCGAUCCUUCACCUCAACAACCUCCCGCCCGCGCAGCACGGAGUAAACUCUCCCUCCAAUAUGGGGCUUAAACUCACAGCCCUGAGAUCACGAGUCUUAUGCUCUACUGACUGAGCCAGCCAGACAUGUCUAUUUCCUUAUACUUUAAAAAAAAUUGUGGCCGGCGGAGCAAGAUGGCGGAGGAGCAGGAGACCUGGAUUUCGCCUGGUCCCAGGAAUUCAGCUGGAUAGGGAUCAAACCAUUCUGAACACCUACGAACUCAACAAGAGAUCGAAGAAAAGAAGAGCAACAACUCUCUCAUCAGAAAAGCGACCACUUUCUGGAAGGGCCUUGAAAAAGUGGGGAAUUCUGGACUUCUGUCUCUUCCCACUACGAAAAUGUACUGUAGGCUUAUGACCACAGUCUCAUCUUCAGAAAAGAAAGUCCGGUGAAGAGUAAAUCUGUUUCACAAAGUUCUCAUCAUGGUUAACCUGUUCACUGACAAUGAAUAUGAUCAUGAGAAUUAUGCUCUGUCUGGGAAAGACACCAUCAAUCAACCAAUUGUCACUAUCAUCGUCUCCCUGAAACCACCUGGAUGGCCCACCUCAGAGUCCACA